CUGGAGGACUGAUGGAGAUGGCGGAGGUGUCUCGGCACUGACACGCGCCUGGCAGCUCUAUCUCAAAUCUUCCUGUCGACCUUCUAUCUGGAAUAUUUUUGUCUGGUACUGAAAGCUGCUCAUUGCGAAAUGGAAUACAAUCAGUGAAACACAACAUGUUUAUACCAAGUUCCUGCCCAAAAGGAUGACACUUACCUAAUUAACAGUUCCAUUGUUUAAGAAUUUUAUAAAAGGGAAAAUUUGG
Molecule: non-coding RNA, 244 nt
Organism: Struthio camelus australis
Lineage: Eukaryota; Metazoa; Chordata; Aves; Struthioniformes; Struthionidae
Source: RefSeq, a predicted model, not a curated record